RNAcentral lists this ribosomal RNA (641 nucleotides) under Fusarium oxysporum f. sp. ciceris. Its description in RNAcentral is "SSU rRNA". It matches the Rfam family "Bacterial small subunit ribosomal RNA", at positions 344 to 950 of the family's 1533-position model. Lineage: Eukaryota; Fungi; Ascomycota; Sordariomycetes; Hypocreales; Nectriaceae. The record is from RNAcentral.
GAGCAAAACAGCUAUGGGUCAAGUAUGGACAUCUACAGAAGUCUUAUUGUGAGGGCGAGUUAUAUAAAAAAAAAAGACUGGCCGUCCCAUAUGAAAAGAUUAUAUUAGAAUUGAAUGAAGCUUUGUUUAUAUAUUGAUAAUGACAGUACAUGAUGGAGGGUGUCUUGACUAAUUGCGUGCCAGCAGUCGCGGUAAUACGUAAGAGACUAGUGUUAUUCAUCUUAAUUAGGUUUAAAGGGUACCCAGACGGUCAAUAUAGCUUAUAAAAUGUUAGUACUUGACUAGAGUUUUAUGUAAGAGGGCAGUACUUGAGGAGGAGAGAUGAAAUUUCGUGAUACCAAAGGGACUCUGUAAAGGCGAAGGCAGCCCUCUAUGUAAAAACUGACGUUGAAGGACGAAGGCACAGAGAACAAACAGGAUUAGAUACCCAAGUAGUCUUUGCAGUAAAUGAUGAAUGCCAUAGGUUAGAUUGAUCAAUUAUAGUCUAGGGUUAGUCUAGCAAACUAAUGCCCUAUGAUAUAAUUCAAAUAUCUGGUCUAUAAAUGAAAGUGUAAGCAUUUCACCUCAAGAGUAAUGUGGCAACGCAGGAACUGAAAUCACUAGACCGUUUCUGACACCAGUAGUGAAGUAUGUUAUUUAAU